CAGACCCAGAUUCCAUUUCGAAGAAGGAGGCCCCACCCCCUCCCUCCAGGACCCACCACUGGCCACGGCCCCCCCUCCACCCACAGCUGACUGUUUACUGCCUCUCUAGAAACAGUUGAAGGAUGGAUCAGCCCUUCUUAAGAUGUUGAAGGAGGCGCUCUGGAUUGACAUGGAACUUGAGGCAUCAUCUGUUCAUGGACUUCAUAUCCAUCUCUGCUAAUGAGGAAACCCAUAUCUAAAAUUAGGAGAUGCUGGAGGCACUUGGCUGAGGUACAUUCACUAAGGUAAAGUUGAGCCAGCACACCCUGACUGGGACUGAGGUAGACGCGAAGAUCAUUAACAACUGCCAAGGACUUUUCCAUGAAGUCUAUAGCAUGAAGAUCUUGAAUCACCACAAUAUCCAGGUGAUGGGUGCCCCAGAAAUACUGUACCUUGUCAUGAAGUCUGUUAGCAGAGGAGACAUGUUUGAUCAUCUCCAGGACCAUGGCCAUGAGAGAGGCCCGGCAGUUAGAACCUGCUGUGCAGCACUACCCCAGAGAGCUGUUACCCACGGGGGGCCUGAAGCCAGAGAGCCUGCUUUUUGAUGCUGACCUGAAUGUAAAAAUUGCAGACUUUGGCCUCAGCAAUGAGUUCACCAACCACCAUAAUUUGAACAACUACUAUGACAUUCCCAAGGCCAACCUCCCCUCUCCCCACUUCCAUGAGGUGACAGCCAAGUUCAGCCCCACCCACUUUCCUGGAAAUGAGUCUGGAGCUCGCACCUCCCAGGAGUGUAUCCUCUCAUUCUCUCCUCCCAUGCUGUGCACCCCCCUCCCCUUCUGCCCCACCCCAUGCUCCCCCAUACUAGAUUGAGUUGAAAUAUGCCGUGGAAACUCAGAUUCUAACGAAGUAACUCAGGGAAUAGGCUGUUUCAUAUGUGGUGUAACUUGAUUAUUGCUAAAUAAUGAAUCUGGAACUGAUGGGUUCCCUGCUAAGCUGAUAAGUUUAAAAGCUUAAUUCGAAAAACCAAGCAAAUUUUGCUCACAGUUUGAAGGCAGCGAUGGGGAUUUGGUCAUGCAUUGGCCAGAGCUCUGUCUAAGGAGAAAGAUACUGUGCCUUCCCAGGUGUCUAGUUUUGUCUAACUUCUUAUAUGCCCUCCACCCUCACGGGGCCUGCAAUUUUAUGGGGGAAAAAACUCUACAACAUAUUAAAAUACUGUUGAGAAUAUUAGC
Long non-coding RNA from Talpa occidentalis (Iberian mole), 1211 nucleotides. RefSeq lists it as uncharacterized. The transcript is spliced from 3 exons. The record is from RefSeq and is a predicted model, not a curated record. Lineage: Eukaryota; Metazoa; Chordata; Mammalia; Eulipotyphla; Talpidae.